CGAACGCUGGCUGCGUGCUUAACACAUGCAAGUCGAACGGAAAGGCCCUGCUUUUGUGGGGUGCUCGAGUGGCGAACGGGUGAGUAACACGUGAGUAACCUGCCCUUGACUUUGGGAUAACUUCAGGAAACUGGGGCUAAUACCGGAUAGGAGCUCCUGCUGCAUGGUGGGGGUUGGAAAGUUUCGGCGGUUGGGGAUGGACUCGCGGCUUAUCAGCUUGUUGGUGGGGUAGUGGCUUACCAAGGCUUUGACGGGUAGCCGGCCUGAGAGGGUGACCGGCCACAUUGGGACUGAGAUACGGCCCAGACUCCUACGGGAGGCAGCAGUGGGGAAUAUUGCACAAUGGGCGGAAGCCUGAUGCAGCAACGCCGCGUGCGGGAUGACGGCCUUCGGGUUGUAAACCGCUUUCGCCUGUGACGAAGCGUGAGUGACGGUAAUGGGUAAAGAAGCACCGGCUAACUACGUG
RNAcentral lists this ribosomal RNA (466 nucleotides) under uncultured bacterium. RNAcentral's name for it is "partial 16S ribosomal RNA". It matches the Rfam family "Bacterial small subunit ribosomal RNA", at positions 30 to 507 of the family's 1533-position model. The record is from RNAcentral.